GCCCCUGUAGUAUAAAUUAAUACACUGGCCUUGUAAACCAAAAAUGGAGCAUCCCUCCCUAGGGCA
RNAcentral lists this transfer RNA (66 nucleotides) under Cercocebus chrysogaster (Golden-bellied mangabey). RNAcentral describes it as "tRNA-Thr". It matches the Rfam family "tRNA". Rfam says of the family: Transfer RNA (tRNA) molecules are approximately 80 nucleotides in length. Their secondary structure includes four short double-helical elements and three loops (D, anti-codon, and T loops). Further hydrogen bonds mediate the characteristic L-shaped molecular structure. tRNAs have two regions of fundamental functional importance: the anti-codon, which is responsible for specific mRNA codon recognition, and the 3' end, to which the tRNAs corresponding amino acid is attached (by aminoacyl-tRNA synthetases). tRNAs cope with the degeneracy of the genetic code in two manners: having more than one tRNA (with a specific anti-codon) for a particular amino acid; and 'wobble' base-pairing, i.e. permitting non-standard base-pairing at the 3rd anti-codon position. The record is from RNAcentral. Lineage: Eukaryota; Metazoa; Chordata; Mammalia; Primates; Cercopithecidae.